GGUGAGGAGGGUAUGUAUUGCAUUUCUCACCUUAACAUCCGAUCUCUAAUUUUGGCAUCGAUGAUGUGCACUGUAUUUAUAAUCUGCAAAGAUGGAUUCACAAAACAGUUAGCAAUAGCAGUUUAAAACCUCCUGUCAGAUAUAGGAAUUGUUGAUGCAACACUACUUCAGUAUGGUCUUUAUAAAGUUGUAUACUUGCAGUUGAACAUUGAGUGUUGGUGCGACAAAUGUAUGUAUCAGAUUUCAUGGGAUCAAGUUUUGUGAAUGGCUGUAUGGUAUAGAGAUGUGUUAUUAAAAUUAAAUAGAGCAUCAAUCAUGUUACAUCUAUACUGGCUACAAAAGAACAGAGCUGCUUUUGUUUGGACAGCUAGAGGUAGCAGAAAUGGAUUGCAAGACAAUAAUUUUAAGUAAUUCGAUGUAUACAUGUGAAGAUGCAUAUUUCCAAUGUGUUGAGUUGAAAAGAUCUCCAAGGCCAUAAAAGAAAGAAGUAAAGGAAGCAACAUAUCAAAAUGGAAGGUAAAAAUGUAGUCAACCUAUUAUGUGCAACCCAAAAAUGCCAUCAUAUGUAUCCAUAUGCAGAUAAGCACUACUUUGCAUCAUACCAAUUACAUCGCACAGGACCAACAGAAACAAUACGAUGAGGAGAGGGAUCACCAUCCACCAGAGCCCAGAGGAAUCGGCGGCCGAACGCCCACGGCUGGCUCGGGCGUUGGUCGGGCCGUCGGCGCUCCAGAUGCAGCUAGCGACUUGUGGAAGCGAGGCGCUCGCUUCGC
Molecule: long non-coding RNA, 773 nt
Filed under: Zea mays
Lineage: Eukaryota; Viridiplantae; Streptophyta; Magnoliopsida; Poales; Poaceae
Description: long non-coding RNA (ZMAY_LNC000924)
Source: RNAcentral